UUACCAGGACGUCACCCAGGACACAAACACUUUGGUGGAAAGCUGCUGCUAUCACAUGUGACAAAAGCAGCAGUGUGGUGUCUCUACAAGGAAUCGYUGACAACACUUGAGGUACAUGUAGUCGGGCUUUCUUCCUUCAGGAAUCUGUGGYGAGAUUGCUGGUGUGGUGAAGGACAGCACUGUGACGGGACAACAUCCCACUGUUGGUUGGACUGGAGCUUUGAUGCUCUGGAGCCUGGUGUUGUUGUCGCCAAAG
This is a non-coding RNA of Salvelinus sp. IW2-2015, 256 nucleotides long. Lineage: Eukaryota; Metazoa; Chordata; Actinopteri; Salmoniformes; Salmonidae. The record is from RefSeq and is a predicted model, not a curated record.